This 215-nucleotide long non-coding RNA is filed under the name Elaeis guineensis (African oil palm). Its description in RNAcentral is "long non-coding RNA (EGUI_LNC028022)". Lineage: Eukaryota; Viridiplantae; Streptophyta; Magnoliopsida; Arecales; Arecaceae. The record is from RNAcentral.
ACCUCGCGACCCUUUACGAUCAUCUACGUAGCAUAUCUAGCACGUAACUCUGGUACAUGAGCUUCAGUAAUUGUGAUCUGCCCCCUCAUCACUAUACUCUCUAUAAAAUUCAUGAUGUAGAUGGCACAAUUAGGCCUACAAAAUUUUUGAUGCUCACAAUCAAUAAAACAAACAAAUGAUACCUUGGAUUAGUUGGCACAAAUGUGUGUUGGCAC